ACUAGAAAAAAGAAAGUGAAAGAUAGAAAUUGAAACCAUCAUUAUCCUAGCACUCCAUAAAUCCGUACUUUCCUAAUGUUUAGUUUAUAAUUAAGCUUCAAGGGACAAAAAUGAUGCAAGAGAGCUAGGUUCUUAUCUCACAGAGUUGAAGAAUGAAUCUCACGGACAAAGGAGCCAUUAGGUCCCAGUCUGAUGUUUUUAAACCCAUGGCAUGGAAUAGAAAGGUCCUCUUUGGGGAGCCAGCUACCACAGGGCCUCUGCUUUGGGCCUGGCCUUGCCACUGGAACAGGAAAAAAUGCAGCUCUUCUGUUCUUACCAUGUGGAACUCAGGUGAUCUAGUUGCAGAUAAAUU
Mustela erminea (ermine) is the source of this 352-nucleotide long non-coding RNA. RefSeq lists it as uncharacterized. The transcript has 3 exons. The record is from RefSeq and is a predicted model, not a curated record. Lineage: Eukaryota; Metazoa; Chordata; Mammalia; Carnivora; Mustelidae.